Molecule: ribosomal RNA, 253 nt
Filed under: uncultured bacterium
Lineage: Bacteria
Description: partial 16S ribosomal RNA
Rfam family: Bacterial small subunit ribosomal RNA
Source: RNAcentral
UACAGAGGCCUCGAGCGUUAGGCGGAAUCACUGGGCUUAAAGCGUGUGUAGGUGGAUGCCUAAGUACCUUGUGAAAUCCCACGGCUUAACCGUGGAACUGCUGGGUAUACUGGGCGUCUUGAGCCACUCAGGGGCUACCGGAACAAGCGGUGGAGCGGUGGAAUGCGCAGAUAUCAGGAGGAACACCGGUGGCGAAGGCGGGUCUCUGGGCAGUAACUGACGCUGAGGAGCGAAAGCGUGGGGAGCGAACAGG